Molecule: ribosomal RNA, 409 nt
Filed under: bacterium
Lineage: Bacteria
Description: partial 16S ribosomal RNA
Rfam family: Bacterial small subunit ribosomal RNA
Source: RNAcentral
UGGGGAAUAUUGCACAAUGGGCGAAAGCCUGAUGCAGCGACGCCGCGUGAGGGAUGACGGCCUUCGGGUUGUAAACCUCUUUCAGCAGGGACGAAGCGCAAGUGACGUUACCUGCAGAAGAAGCACAGGCUAACUACUUGCCAGCAGCCGCGGUAAUACGUAGGGUGCAAGCGUUAUCCGGAAUUACUGGGCGUAAAGAGUUCGUAGGCGGUUUGUCGCGUCGUUUGUGAAAACCAGCAGCUCAACUGCUGGCUUGCAGGCGAUACAGGCAGUCUUGAGUACUGCAGGGGGAACUGGAAUUCCUAGUGUAGCGGUGAAAUGCGCAGAUAUCAGGAUGGACACCGAUGGCGAAGGCGAGUCUCUGGGCAGUAACUGACGCUGAGGAACGAAAGCGUGGGUAGCGAGCAGG